UGGGGAAUAUUGCGCAAUGGGGGCAACCCUGACGCAGCCAUGCCGCGUGAAUGAAGAAGGCCUUCGGGUUGUAAAGUUCUUUCGGUAGCGAGGAAGGCAUUUAGUUUAAUAGACUAGGUGAUUGACGUUAACUACAGAAGAAGCACCGGCUAACUCCGUGCCAGCAGCCGCGGUAAUACGGAGGGUGCGAGCGUUAAUCGGAAUAACUGGGCGUAAAGGGCACGCAGGCGGUGACUUAAGUGAGGUGUGAAAGCCCCGGGCUUAACCUGGGAAUUGCAUUUCAUACUGGGUCGCUAGAGUACUUUAGGGAGGGGUAGAAUUCCACGUGUAGCGGUGAAAUGCGUAGAGAUGUGGAGGAAUACCGAAGGCGAAGGCAGCCCCUUGGGAAAGUACUGACGCUCAUGUGCGAAAGCGUGGGGAGCAAACAGGAUUAGAUACCCUGGUAGUCCACGCUGUAAACGAUGUCGAUUUGGGGGUUGAGCUUUAAGCUUGGCGCCCGUAGCUAACGUGAUAAAUCGACCGCCUGGGGAGUACGGCCGCAAGGUUA
Molecule: ribosomal RNA, 547 nt
Filed under: uncultured bacterium
Lineage: Bacteria
Description: bacterial SSU rRNA
Rfam family: Bacterial small subunit ribosomal RNA
Source: RNAcentral